This 397-nucleotide ribosomal RNA is filed under the name uncultured bacterium. RNAcentral describes it as "bacterial SSU rRNA". It matches the Rfam family "Bacterial small subunit ribosomal RNA", at positions 30 to 429 of the family's 1533-position model. The record is from RNAcentral.
AUUGAACGCUGGCGGAAUGCUUUACACAUGCAAGUCGAACGGCAGCACGGGGGCAACCCUGGUGACGAGUGGCGAACGGGUGAGUAAUGCAUCGGAACGUACCUUUCAGUGGGGGAUAACGUAGCGAAAGUUACGCUAAUACCGCAUAUUCUGUGAGCAGGAAAGCAGGGGAUCGCAAGACCUUGCGCUGAUUGAGCGGCCGAUGUCAGAUUAGCUAGUUGGUGAGGUAAAAGGCUCACCAAGGCGACGAUCUGUAGCGGGUCUGAGAGGAUGAUCCGCCACACUGGAACUGAGACACGGUCCAGACUCCUACGGGAGGCAGCAGUGGGGAAUUUUGGACAAUGGGGGCAACCCUGAUCCAGCCAUGCCGCGUGAGUGAAGAAGGCCUGGUUGUAAG